Molecule: long non-coding RNA, 1240 nt
Filed under: Sinocyclocheilus grahami
Lineage: Eukaryota; Metazoa; Chordata; Actinopteri; Cypriniformes; Cyprinidae
Description: lncRNA (ENSSGRG00000014599.1)
Source: RNAcentral
CAGCUACUGGAGCAUUUACAAUCUGGAUUGGGCAACAUUCAGUUUAAGAGGGGCGUGUUUACUAGUUUUUCAUCGGAAUGUAGGCACACACUGGGCUGCGCUUCAGGUGAACGCGGCGGCACGCAAAGCUGCGGCUCUCAUUCACAGCAAUGCAAACUCUGGCCUAGUUUAUUUACAUACGCCGGAUCAUCACAGACGCUGCUUUUUGACGGAUGAUAUUCAGCGCCUGAUGUGAAUCUGAAACUGAAUGUGAAAUCUACAGGAGGACCAAGUGUCCUGACUCCUGACCGAAGAGCCGUUCUUUUCUGAGAGGCUCAGGUAGAGUUCACAGAAAGCCAAGCCACAUGAAGACAGAAGAUCUGAAGUCUUAUAACCAGACCUUCCUGUGAGAUCGGACGCUGGACACUCUGAUGUGAAACUGAAAGCGAUUCAGAGGUUUGCUCUAUGAAACAGCACCUUGGAAAGUGAGAAGGACCGUAAUGUAAAUAAGCGCGGACGACGUGAAGUAGCCUAUAUGUAUUUUCAGUUAUUCAUUUUUUAUUCAGGAUUAUGUAGGAUUCAGGUCAUCCUCUUUGGCUUCUGCGUGUUUGAAAACUUCAGGAAAAGUACCCAGCAGAGGAAACACUUGUGAAACAUGGAUGUAAUUAGGUUUCCCGAUUUUUUUGAUGAUAAAAACCACUGGGAUCACACAUCUCGUGGUCUUUACUUUAUCAGAUGAGUCCAGUUUCAGAUCUCAAGAAGUUAUUUUGUGACACCUGACGAAGACCUAAAAUGCAGAAGGCAAACAACAGGAAACUGUCUCUGUGCCAGGCCCUCACUCUCAUAACACUACUGAUGUCUCCAAGUUGCCUGUCCUCUCUGCCUUCAUCCAGACGAGUAGAGCUGGGAGGUGAGGGACCACAGAUGCAUAGCCAAAUACAUUUCAUGAAUGAGUGGGCCUCGUGGGGCGGUUGGUCUGUGUGUUCGUGCUCCUGUGGGGGAGGGGCGUCUGUCCGUACACGCACCUGCAUCACCAGAAAUCUGGUAGGAGGGCCGUGCUCGGGGGACACCAGGCAAUACAAGAUUUGUAACACAAAGGAGUGUCCUGCUGACUCUAUGGACUUCAGAGAACUGCAGUGUAAAGCUUUCAAUGACAGACCCCUGGUCGCUGGCAGCAGUUACCGUUGGACUACCUUUCACACACUUACAUAGUGGAGGUGGAAACGUAUUUGAAUGUGUUUAAAGAAUUCAACCCACUAUU